AUUUUUCAAAAUACCAUAAACUUUUUUUUAAUUUCCGUCAGAAAGUAUUUGAGGGUACUAUAGGUAAUUUUGUAUCUGAAGCUUUGAGACAUGAUGCACGCUCCCACAAUCCAAUCAUGAUUUUUCUGUUCAUAAUCGUUCAAUAUCAUCAGAUAUUCAGAUCUUGUGCGGUUAUUUCCUGAAAUUUUAACUCAAUGGAAUCAAUCAAUCAAGUAACCUUCUGUAAUCUCGCAAUAUUUUGUAAACACAUGUAUGUUUUCCCUAAUCGAUUACUUAGGCAAUUAAUUUUGCCCUAGUUUUUAGAUCAGUUUCUUAAAUCUCUCAUCUCCUUUUAUCCUAGAUUUCUCUAUUUCGUUCCCCCCACACUACCACCAUUGGAAGAUCAAUUGGAAGUAUAAUCGACACUCUAACAAAUAGGUGCACUCUCUCUUUACUUUCUCAUGGUCGAGUUGGUAGCAAUCGGAGACGUGUUCGACCCUCCGUCUUCAUUUUGGUUUGUGGCUAACAAACAUAUAACCAGACAUCUCACUUUUUGAAGCUCAAAUGUUCAUUGACUCAUGAGCCAAUUCUGAUUUCUCGAUUGUUCAUAGUUAAGACUCGAAUUACAUGGAAUUCUAGAUGAAUGUUGUUGAUUGUUAAAGUUUAGUGAUCAUUGUCUUGUAUAUGGUUUACUGAUUUCUUGAUUUUGGUCUUAAGUUUGAUUUGGGAUUUCAUUGGUUUCUCGAUUUUGACUUAAGCUCUAGUUUCUUUUCUAA
Lactuca sativa (garden lettuce) is the source of this 755-nucleotide non-coding RNA. The record is from RefSeq and is a predicted model, not a curated record. NCBI's taxonomy places the organism in Eukaryota, Viridiplantae, Streptophyta, Magnoliopsida, Asterales, Asteraceae.